This is a long non-coding RNA of Hibiscus syriacus, 349 nucleotides long. RefSeq lists it as uncharacterized. The record is from RefSeq and is a predicted model, not a curated record. NCBI's taxonomy places the organism in Eukaryota, Viridiplantae, Streptophyta, Magnoliopsida, Malvales, Malvaceae. The transcript has 2 exons.
GUUUUAGCUGCCAUUCAACAACAUGCAAUCACAAUAGCCUAAGCUAUUCAAGAGGGUAAAUUAUAGCAACAAGGCCACCGUGCCUUAUGGUAAGCAAUUCAGGCAUGUAAUAGAUAGAGGUUGGCUUGUAUUUUUCUUGGUGGGGGGAAGGACAAACCUGCUACUAGAGCACCGACUGCCACACAAAAUGUCCCAACCUGAAGAAGUAGUUCCACUCUGCUUACCUCAAGCCUCCGAGAGCUGAUAAAAAUUUUAAAAACAGUGCUAUUUCAUUAGUUAAAGGAUUGUGGAUUCAGACACAAAUGAAAGUUAAGUUAGUUAUGGAUCUUAAAAUUCAAAUUAUCAAUAU